This 265-nucleotide long non-coding RNA is filed under the name Brassica rapa (field mustard). RNAcentral's name for it is "long non-coding RNA (BRAP_LNC004599)". The record is from RNAcentral. Lineage: Eukaryota; Viridiplantae; Streptophyta; Magnoliopsida; Brassicales; Brassicaceae.
UUUAACCCUAAUCAACGAGACUUACACACCUACUCAACAAAGGAGGGGUAAAGCAACAUGAAAGUUCAAAAAUAAUGAAAGUGAGAUUAUUUAGUAAUAUGUGUGAACUGUUUUACAAUAAUCACUAAAAUAUAUUGUCGAUUACUUAUCAGCUUAGUAAUUAGUCUAUGCAUCAUCCAUCGAUCGAACAACUAGACAACUAACAAGUAUUUAAAAUAUAAACAACAUUAUUCAUGUAUUUUUUCUGAGUCUAUUGACUUGUAAG